GUGACUAAGACUAUUUAAUUAUAUGAUUAAUAAUCUUGAGAUUAUAAUCUCAUAAAUUAUAAUUCUUGCAAACAAACAAGACCUAAGAAUCCCAUAAUAUGCCUAUUUCACUUUAUUAUUUUAAGCCAUAAGUCUCUUAGCUUCAGUCUACUCAACAAAACCCUAGCUCUCAUUCUAUAUCUCAACCGCUGAGAGAAACACAUAGUAAUUGUGUUUGAGAGAGAGUCACUCAAUCCGCCAUGAUGACAAGGUUCAAAAAAAAUAUGAAGAAAAAAAAUAUAAAGAAGACAGACCACGUGAGCGCCAAUCACGAUUGUAUCAGCAAGCACCGGAAACAUUCGAAGGUCACGGGAAGGAAUGCACCACCAUCGGAUCUUGUUCAACAAGUACCAUCCGGGUUAAUAAUGGAUGGUGAACGUCUGAGCGAGACUGUGAGAGAUGAAGGGAGAUGAAGAUUAAAGGGACUAAGGAGCGUCUGCGUAUGAGGGUUUGUAAUUUGGGAGAUUUGAGAAAUGAAGAUUGAAGAGAGCGUAUGAGUAUAAGAUGAAGAUUUGGUCUAUUAUUAGUUUAUUACAAUUAGAAUUAGGAUCUAUUAUUACGGUUAUAAAAAUGAACCGGUAUAACCGGACCAGAACAGUUUAUAUAUAACGAAUAAGUCAAACCAAUAUUUCGGUAUAGGUCCCGAAUAACAAGUAUAUACAAGUUAAAAAUAUCGAAUCCGAAUCGGUUUCACUUCGUACCGAA
RNAcentral lists this long non-coding RNA (744 nucleotides) under Panax ginseng (ginseng). RNAcentral describes it as "long non-coding RNA (PGIN_LNC002564)". The record is from RNAcentral. Lineage: Eukaryota; Viridiplantae; Streptophyta; Magnoliopsida; Apiales; Araliaceae.